AUGUAUAAUAUGGAUAUGUUGUCUAACUUGGAAGAAGAAUGAGGACUAUCUAUAUUAGGUUGAUGACUAAAACUUAUCUCUCCUGAUUCUCCUUGAAAUUGAUAGGAUUAUGAGCAAUAAGUUUUAGUUAUCAACCUCGUAUGAAUAGUCGUCCAUCAUCUUUCAAGUUAGACAAUAUAUCCAUAUUUUACUA
This 193-nucleotide microRNA precursor is filed under the name Prunus dulcis (almond). RNAcentral's name for it is "sRNA ncRNA". Lineage: Eukaryota; Viridiplantae; Streptophyta; Magnoliopsida; Rosales; Rosaceae. The record is from RNAcentral.